Molecule: long non-coding RNA, 735 nt
Organism: Harpegnathos saltator (Jerdon's jumping ant)
Lineage: Eukaryota; Metazoa; Arthropoda; Insecta; Hymenoptera; Formicidae
Exons: 2
Source: RefSeq, a predicted model, not a curated record
CGAGUGUCUCCGCGCACAUCGCCACUGUUCUCCGAGAGCUUGAAGCAAUCGGAGUAACGCAACGACUCGCAACGGCGCGAGGGGUCCAACGUCGAAUCUUUACGCACGAAACUCGCGACGGAGCGAGAAGAAGUCGCAUGUCUCGGCCAAGGUCCGUAGAGGAACGGAACAAGAAUAUUGCGUCUUCGAUUCUUCGGAGCUUGGCGAAACUGGUAGGAAAUUGAGCCGCGAGGUUCGGCCCUGCUGUGCACACGCAUCGUUCUCCCAUCUCGCACCGAGGGUGCGUGCGCGUGUCCGGACGCAGAGCGCCAUGUGUUCCGCUGACGAUGGAUAUAAUGUACGCCUACCCACGGAAAUACGCUUCUUGACGGAUCGCCCGACUAAUUCGGUAGUUGUCACCGGGUAUGCGCGUGGAUUGAUGACGACCACCUAGCCGCACCCGCCGCGAAUUCCUCGGAAAUUCUUCGGCCUCGAGGAAGAGACCGAAGAACUUGGCUGCUUAAUUGGGACUUUCGCCGCGACAAUGAUGACGGUAAUAAUAGAGCCUUAAUUCGCUCGGCGACUUUGCGCGCGUCUAGACGAGGAAGUCUCUUCGCGCGUGUGUCCUCGUUUUUUUCCUUUUCUUUUCUUGGUCUUUGUCGUGAAGCUUCGGCGCAAGCUUUUUGUUUGUUUUCGCGUGUAAUUUUGGAAAUCUCUGAAGAGGCGCGAGUGACUCAAACAAUGACAUGGACACCA